CCUACGGGAGGCAGCAGUGAGGAAUAUUGGUCAAUGGGCGGAAGCCUGAACCAGCCAAGUCGCGUGAAGGAAUAAGGCCCUACGGGUCGUAAACCUCUUUUGCCGGGGAGCAAGGGCGGGGACGUGUCCCGGCCCGGAGAGUACCCGGAGAAAAAGCAUGGGCAAACCCGGUGCAGGCAGCCGGGGAAACACGGAGGAUGCAAGGGUUAUCCGGUUUUUUGGGGUUUAAGGGGUGCGUGGCGGUGCUUUUAGGUCAGCGGGAAAAAUUGGGGGGUAAACCCCGACCGGCCUUUGAAACUGGGGGCCUUGAGUGUACUUGAAGUAGGCGGAAUGCGUGGUGUAGCGGUGAAAUGCAUAGAGAUCACGCAGAACCCCGAUUGCGAAGGCAGCCUUCCGGCGCCCUACUGACGCUGAGGCACGAAAGUGCGGGGAUCAAACAGGAUUAGAUACCCGGGUAGUC
RNAcentral lists this ribosomal RNA (460 nucleotides) under uncultured bacterium. Its description in RNAcentral is "partial 16S ribosomal RNA". It matches the Rfam family "Bacterial small subunit ribosomal RNA", at positions 338 to 795 of the family's 1533-position model. The record is from RNAcentral.